RNAcentral lists this long non-coding RNA (1650 nucleotides) under Mus caroli (Ryukyu mouse). RNAcentral describes it as "lncRNA (MGP_CAROLIEiJ_G0002477.1)". Lineage: Eukaryota; Metazoa; Chordata; Mammalia; Rodentia; Muridae. The record is from RNAcentral.
AGUAUCUAGUCGUUCCAGUCUUUACCUGAUUGCCCAGCACUGCUGUGGCACAAGCCGUCGACACCUCCUUGGGUCCAAACCAUACCGAGGCGACGGGGGAGGGCAAGCCCAGGAUGAAGACCUGGGCCACGGAGCACAGGAUCUGCCCCAGCAUGGUGACCCAGAAGAGGUGCCGCUGCACGCUGCCGCACUUGACCCAGGCUCCCAGGCAGUUGAGGCCGGAGCCCAGCAGCGCCGUGAGCCGCAGGCCUCGCGUGUCCAGCAGCCAGGUGGCCGGGAAGAUGAGGGGCACGUAGGCCACCAUGUACACCAUGGACAGCCAGUUGAUGUGCAGCGGCGACACAUCGUAGAAGUCCUCGAACACGUUGCUGAUGCUGCUGUACUGGAUCCACUGGAAGGCGUUCACCAGCGAGUAAAGGCUGAAGAUGAGCAGCACCACGAAGCGCCUCGGCGAUAGCGCAGUGCGCGGGGGACACGCGGGGCAUGGGACGUCCUCCCCGUCGCCCGCGGGCAAGAGCCGGGCCUGGGUCUCCUCCUCCGCCGCUAUCAGGGCUUGCGGCCCGCCCUGGGCUCCCGCAACAAGCGGGCCGAGCCCGGGGCCUCCGUUCAGCGCCUCAGGCCCGUUUUGCGGUACCAAGCGCGCCUCCCCGUCCGGGGCGCCCUUGGGCACCGGAAGGUAUCCCUUCCCCAGCGGGUGCCCGGGCGCCACGGCCGGCCCCACCUCGUCAUCGGGCCGCGCCAUGCCUCCCGGCUCCCCGCCCCGCCGCCCCUUAGUCCUCCUCGCCGGCUCCUAGGUCCCACCCGGUUCAGCGCGCUCGCCUGCGCCGCUUGCCGACUAAGUGAAGCUGAGCUCACCGCGCCUGGCUCUUGCCGGCAGUCCCCGCCCCCAGGGCAUCUCGUAUCGUGUAGUGCGACCCUCCAUCCAAUCAUUGAGCGUUUCGGCAGUCCAGAAAGCCAAUCGGGGAGUUGCCGAGAAGAGGGGCGGGGUCAAGCGUGUGAGGCCGUAAGAGGAGCCCAAGGCAGGCUUUCUCAGCGCUGUGGUUUGCUGGAGCUGCCAGGCCUUUCACUGCGCUCGCUCCGCAGCGUUUAGCCUCGGGUUAUCUUCGAAGGAGAGCGCCAGAAAGCGUUUCCGCCCGCCCAGAGAAAAGAGGCUUCCUCAGAAGCAGGCCUUUGCGUUGAUGGAGCUGGGCGGCUCCAUCCGCGCAGAGGACUGAAGGAGGCCUAAGCCUGCUUGGAUUGUCACACAAUUGUUCACACCAAGUACUUUCAAUCUGAAUUUACAAUGGCAGAGCCCAUACCUAAAGGGUGUUUUCAGGGUACUCCUGAAGAGAAGCACCUACGGACUUAUGUAACAAGCUCCUUGCAUAGCAAGGGAUACCUUUCUUUCACCAGAGGCAGUCAACAGUUGGAUAGGCCACUGCUUUCCUUACUUGGACAGCUACAUGGUCGCUGCCAUCAUCCCCGACAAGAUUAACAAACUCGUCUGACAGGGAUCUUGUGGAUAUGAUUCCUGAAUUCCACGGAAUUCUUAGAAAGCUGAGCCGUGCGGUGUUUGAGAUUUCUCCUGAUGUUGUUGCCCUAUGAAAAGUAAGAUAGAUCCAUCUAAGGGAAGAAUUAGAUACAAUUCAUACACCUGUUUCACAAAGCUCC